This is a microRNA precursor of Oryza sativa Japonica Group (Japanese rice), 176 nucleotides long. It matches the Rfam family "MIR812 microRNA precursor family". NCBI's taxonomy places the organism in Eukaryota, Viridiplantae, Streptophyta, Magnoliopsida, Poales, Poaceae. The record is from Rfam.
UUUAGGUGUAACCAUGGGUUUCCACGCUCAACUUUGAUCUUAGUAUUUUUGUUGCUAUGAGUUGAUACAAUAUGAAUAGUACUUUACUCAUAACUUAUGUUUUUAAAUUUUUUAAAAAAAUUUCAAAUAAGAUAGACGAUCAAAGUUAGACGUGAAAAACCAUGGUUAUACUUGAA